UACGAGGGGGGCGAGCGUUGUUCGGAAUUAUUGGGCGUAAAGGGUGCGUAGGCGGCCUGACAAGUCUGAUGUGAAAUCCCUGGGCUCAACCCAGGGCCUGCAUCGGAAACUGUCGGGCUUGAGUAUGGGAGAGGUGAGUGGAAUUUCCGGUGUAGCGGUGAAAUGCGUAGAUAUCGGAAGGAACACCUGUGGCGAAAGCGGCUCACUGGACCAUUACCGACGCUGAGGCACGAAAGCUAGGGGAGCAAACAGG
RNAcentral lists this ribosomal RNA (253 nucleotides) under uncultured bacterium. RNAcentral's name for it is "partial 16S ribosomal RNA". It matches the Rfam family "Bacterial small subunit ribosomal RNA", at positions 524 to 776 of the family's 1533-position model. The record is from RNAcentral.